GACGUAGGAUGCGAGCGUUGUCCGGAAUUAUUGGGCGUAAAGGGAGCGUAGGCGGCCUGAUAAGUUCGAACUUAAAGACCAGGGCUCAACCCUGGGAGUGGUUUGAAUACUGUUGGGCUAGAGGACGGCAGAGGAAGGUGGAAUUCCAAGUGUAGCGGUGAAAUGCGUAGAUAUUUGGAGGAACACCGGUGGCGAAAGCGACCUUCUGGGCCGUUCCUGACGCUGAGGCUCGAAAGCUCGGGGAGCAAACAGG
This 253-nucleotide ribosomal RNA is filed under the name uncultured prokaryote. Its description in RNAcentral is "partial 16S ribosomal RNA". It matches the Rfam family "Bacterial small subunit ribosomal RNA", at positions 524 to 776 of the family's 1533-position model. The record is from RNAcentral.